RNAcentral lists this transfer RNA (64 nucleotides) under Haloa japonica. RNAcentral describes it as "tRNA-Thr". It matches the Rfam family "tRNA". From Rfam's summary of the family: Transfer RNA (tRNA) molecules are approximately 80 nucleotides in length. Their secondary structure includes four short double-helical elements and three loops (D, anti-codon, and T loops). Further hydrogen bonds mediate the characteristic L-shaped molecular structure. tRNAs have two regions of fundamental functional importance: the anti-codon, which is responsible for specific mRNA codon recognition, and the 3' end, to which the tRNAs corresponding amino acid is attached (by aminoacyl-tRNA synthetases). tRNAs cope with the degeneracy of the genetic code in two manners: having more than one tRNA (with a specific anti-codon) for a particular amino acid; and 'wobble' base-pairing, i.e. permitting non-standard base-pairing at the 3rd anti-codon position. Lineage: Eukaryota; Metazoa; Mollusca; Gastropoda; Cephalaspidea; Haminoeidae. The record is from RNAcentral.
UCUGGAGUAGCUUAAUUAGAAAGCAUUGAUUUUGUAAUUCAAAGAAGGGACUUCCCCUCCAGAU